Molecule: long non-coding RNA, 2449 nt
Organism: Cygnus atratus (black swan)
Lineage: Eukaryota; Metazoa; Chordata; Aves; Anseriformes; Anatidae
Exons: 3
Source: RefSeq, a predicted model, not a curated record
CACGCACAUGCACACAAAAAGCUGCUGCCUCCACAUGAGUGUUUGUGUCCUGAAAUGAGGGAAAAAAAAAACCACCUCUUAAAAGAGGGUUACUUUUUUUGCCGAUCCUAUUUAAAGUAAUCUUUCUCCUCACUGAGAACGUUCCCUUGGCGUUACUGCGGCUUUCCCCUCACUGAGGAUGUGCUCCUGGUGUAACUGCAGCUUUGUCCUCACUGAAAAAGUUCUUACAAAGCAUUUGUGUGGAUGACAGUGUUCGGUGGUCAUUCCACCCCUAAUUCCUGUGUGCUUUCAUGGCAAUUGCCCUCACGCUUUCACUGAGGAAAGACCAGCUGUUAGGAUGCACUAAUUGCAACAACUAGUUGUGACUGUAACCCAUUAAGGUUGGCACCUGAAAAGGUCUCUCUGAAAACUUUUAUCAGUAGCUCCGUAUUUUUCCAAAAUAACGUCUUCUCUAAUCUUAACAGUAGGCAUACAACACAGCAAGCGGGGAAGCAAUCGCUCCCAUUACCACCAAAGCCCUUGCCGCAGACCAACCUGCCUUUGGGGUCUGGAUCCAGGUCUGUUUCUCAGCAUUUUCCACUCCUGUCCUCACUGAGCCGCCUGGAGGCCUGUGACCUUCUGGUGCCUGCUUGACUUCUGCCACCACGGCCAGCUCUGGAGCUUGCUUUGGCUGGAGCGCCUGGAAGACAUCUGCCUGAGGAGCCCUUAGAAUGGAGUUGGACCCUGCUGCAGGAGGGAUCAUAACAGUAUGGAAGAUGGUUCCCUUUAAAACAGCUUGCAGCUGGAUACAUGUGACCUUACGAGAAGGAGUGGGAAAGAAUGCGGUGAGAAGCAACCACUAGAUUAUAGAGUCACUGUGAAGAAUUUCAUACUUGUACUUCAAUCAAGUAUACUUUCCAGAGGUAUCUUUCGUUUGACGUGAACUUGUCUUUCACUUCCCAGGGCAGGUUCACUUCAGUUUUCUCCAACGGACAACCACUUUAGUCAGUGACAUUUGCUGUAAGUUGCAUUGUCUAGUUUAAAAUUUGGGUUCUUGUUAUGCCUUUAUCCCCUAGCUUAAAGAGCAUGUUAGUACCUGCUGUUAUAUCCCUGUGAUGGUACUUCCAUAAUGUGAUCAUAUUGCCUCUUUUCUUGCAAGGCUGAAUAGAUUGGGCACCUGAAAUCUCUCCCCGGAGAGGAAUUAUUUAAAAUCAUUUUUAGGUUUCCUUUCUUAACCUUCUCCGGUAUUUCAAUAUCCUUUGAAAAAUGCAGAUACCAAGACUGGGCAGCUUCUAGUAUCUGUCUCGGUGAUGCUUCAUGCAGAGAGAAAAUUGCUUCUCUACUCCUACUUGUUACUCCUCUGGAACAUCUGAGGAUCGCUGCAUCCUCUUCGGGCCCUUUCUUUCCUUUCCUUAGGAGUAUAGCACAAUUCCUUCCCACUCUGCCUUUGUGUGCAGGAUAACAUACAUACAUACCAGUUCUGCUCCUGAGAGGGUGGUGGUUUCAUUCAUAUUUUUGCAUUGAGUUAUACUUCAAUUAAGCUCAUCUUACCUGGUUCUUCAUGUGUUACAUAUGUAAUGAGAAUGCCAUGUGUCGUUAUAUAACACACCUUUCAAAAAUCUGUUAUGACCAUGGCUGUGUAACUUUACUAACCACACAGAUAAUUUCCUCUCAAAAACAUAAAUCAUGUUUUCUUGGUAGGCUACAUCCCUUAAAACAAACAAAUAUACACUGUCUGGCACCUACACAACUGAUUUUUUUUCUAUUGUCUUUUCGUUGGGGUUUGUUAACACCAGACUGACCAGUCUGUAACUAAGCGGCCACCAUAAUGUGGUUUUCUGGAUCUUUUCAGGAAACUGAGCAGUCAAUCUUUCAAGAUUUUCCAGUUAUGACAAGAUUUACUUCAAGUAGUGUCAGAGAGCUGGGUAUUUUCUCCACCCCCAGCCCACUCUUUUGGGAUUCAUUUGUACCAUUUUUCUGGGUUGGGUGGUUUUUGUAUGUUCUUAGGAGUUGCUUCUUAAUCUCUAUUUUAUGAGUCAAUGAUCUGAGAAAUACAUUCUCCUUUUCUUUCCAGAUAUAAAACUGAAAUAUUUAUCACCCAUUUAUACCUCUUCUGCCUUCUCUUCUAAUAAUACUUCUUACUCUUCCAAAUACACAAAUGCUUUAUUGCCCCUAGCCCUGCCAGACAUGGAUUUUUCCCUGCUGGAUUUUGCUGCCUCUAUGAAAUCUCAACACUUUUUAAUUAAUGUUGAUUGCCCUCUACUUUCCUUUCUCAACAUUAGUUUUACAUGGUAAGUUUUUCAUCUUAAUUGCUGACUUCACUUCUCUAGGAAUGGGCUUUCAAGCAAAAUUGUCCUCUUGAUUCCUGGUAGAUUUGCAGCUUUUUGGUAACCCACUAUACUUCCAUAUACACUUCUCUAUUUUUUUCCCAUAUUUGUAAUUCUUCCUCAGAAAAUCACUUUAUUUCCCC